UUUUAUUUUGUGGAUUUGAAAUUUUUUAAAUAUUAUUAUACUUUAAGUUCUGGGGUACAUGUACAGAACAUGCAGGUUUGUUACAUAGGUAUACACAUGUCAUGGUGGUUUCCUGCAUCCAUCAACCCGUCAUCUACAUUAGGUAUUUCCCUUGACGCUUGAGAUACAAUUACAUUUGAACUUUGAAGAGAUAACCCUCAUAAGGUUAGGACUGCAGGCUAGGGCUACAGUGGAAAUGGACAGAAUGGAUACCCAGAGACCAGUCAGAAAAAUAUUGUGAUAGUCCAGGCAAGAGAUAAGGGUAUCUUAACAGUAGCUCAUUUAGAAUUCAUGCACCAGAUAUACUAUAUCCCAUGAAAUGCUUACAAUAAUCCUAUGUAUUAGAGAUUGUAAAUAUCUUUACAAUGUGGAAAAUGAACUUUGGAGCUGUUGAGUGACUUGACAAGGUCACAAAGAUACCAAGCAAUGGGAAAGAAAUCCAAGCCAGGCAGUCUAGCUCAUAUCGCAUGUUCUAUGACGCUGCCCAGAAAGCGAUGGCAGCAGAGUUGAAAAGAAGUAUACAGAUUCAAAAGAUAUCUGAAAGUUGAAAUCCCAGGCUGUAAUGAUGAAUUGGUUAUCGAGAAUAAGGAGGUAAUAUCAAUUAGAGUGAGGAGAUAUCAAGGAUAAUGUCCAAGGGUCUGACAUAUCCAGGUGGAUGGAUGAUGGUGCCUUUCACCAAAAUAGGAAAGUGAAAAGAGACUAGCUUUUUUUUUUUUUUUUUUUGAGAGGGAAAGGGAAGGUGGGUGUGGCCAGGACACUGAGUACAAUACUACACAUGUUGAAUUUGAGUAACCUCUGAGACACCCAAAUAGAAAUAUUAAGUAGGCAGAUAGAUAUAUGUGUCUAGAGAGUGUAAGAAAGAUCUUGUUUGGAGAUGUAAAUCUGAAAACCUACAGCAUAUGAAAGAUAAUUAAAAUUAUAGACAUAGCUGUACUUACUAGGAUGCAUUAUCUUUUCCUGUUAAACUAACAUUUUGGGCCCAUUCUUCCCCAAACUUGUGAUGAAAACUGAAGCAGAUCCCAUAGCUUUUCUAUCAGUCAUGAGUAAUCAAAAGUCGCUUAUAAGCUUAAACAGUCAAAUCCAGUGUAAUGACCAAAACUCCAAACUCCUCAGCUCUGGCCUGCCAGGGUAAAGAGGGAUAUGGUUGGUUUCUUUUCUCUUCCUCAUCCCACUUCCUUCUCUAUCCACUCACUGGCUGUUAUAGUUGAUUCCUCCUGGUGAGAACCCAGAGGAGUAGUAAAGAAAGAGCACACAGUUGAAGUAGCUGAUAGAGUUGAAAUGUGGGAUCAGUACCCUCUUGUGGGGACCCAUAUGUCUUGCUGAUUACUCACAACCUCUACUUGGAUGUCUAAAGACAUUUCUGACUUAGUGUGGCUAAGAUGAAACAUGAUUUCCUCUCACCUGCUAAAAAUGCUCCUCCCACAUAAACAAAUGGCAACUCCAUUCUGUCGUUUGGACCAAAUACCUUAAAGCCCUCUUUCUCCCAUAACCCAUUUUCAAACCAUUAACAUAUCCUGUCACUGUCUUUAAAAUAUAAGUGAUUCUCAUUAUUAACAGUACUUAUGUUCUAUAAAGUCACCGUAAAUACUGAAUUAGCUAAUACAGAAUCAUUGCCCCUAGGGGAAAUACAGGGUUAUGUUCUGACAUGUAUUUGUUCACAAAAUUUUCAUCAACUGAUCCACACAUACCUUGUUUUAUGUGUGUUUCUGUUUAAAGAAACAGUGAUCUAUUUUAUAGAUUCGUUAGCAAAGAACUCAUGGCCAGCAGCACUAUAACUCACAUCUGAACAAGGCUGAUCUGGCCUUAGUAUUUUCUCGGUAAGGCACAUCACAGCCUUCUUGUUCUUAGGAACACUAUAUAAUCCUUCAGGACUACAUUUGGGGCCAUUUUAAACAGCAAUUAUCACCAACAAAAGGCACAAAAAUGAAAAAAAAAAUGGCGCUAAAUAUACCACGAAAAGGAAACUUGUUUACAACAUGAGACCUGAAAUGAGAAGGCAGAGCGUCAUCUUAUUAGAACUCAGCAGGGAACACGCACAGCAGGCAGAUUUUUCACUACUUUGUGCAUAUGCUGGUCUGUGAGUGACUGUAAGACAACUUGAGUAUUGAUUUUGGGGUUGCAAACAAACUUUAGCAAGGAGGCUGGUUUGCAAAUACACAAUCUGCUAAUAAGGACAGACAGUAUAUCCAGAAUCUGACCACUUCUCAUCACCAUCACCACUACUACCCCUGUCCAAACCAUGAUCAUCUCUUCACUCGCACUGGUCUCCUUACCAGCCUCCCAGCAUCUAAUCUUUCCUCCAAGGGUCUAAAAUUCCCCGGCGUUUUUAAACUCAAACUAAGAUCAUGUCACUGCUCUACUCAAAGCCCUCCAGUGACUUUCAAUCUCUUCUGAAAUGAAAGCCAAAGUCCUGGCCAUUGCUACACAAGGUCCCCUGUGAUCUUAGUGGCUCCAUUUUCUAUCCCUCUCUGCCCUCCCUCACUCCAUUCUAGACAAGCAUACUCCUACCUGGCAGCCUUUGAACUUGUGUUUUCUACUUGUAAGGUUGUUCAUAUGGCUCGCACUAUAGUGAAUUCCUAUAAUUUGUCAACAAAAAGAGUCAAACUCUAUAAAAUAUUUGGAGAGAUUUAUUCUGAGCCAAGUAUGAGUCAUCAUGACCUGGGGCAGAGUCUCAAGAGGUUCUAAGAACAUGUGCCCAAGAUGGUCAGGCUGCAGCUUGGUUUUAUACAUUUCAGGGAGACAUAGGCAUCAAUUACUACACGUAAGGCAUACACAUCAGUUUGGUCCAGAAAAGUGGAACAACUCUAAAUGGGUUGGGGAGGAGCCUUGCCAGGUCAUAAGUGGAUUCAAAGAUUUUCUGACUGGCAAUUGGUGGAUAGAGAUAAGUUAUUAUUUAAAGACCUGGAAUCAAUAGAAGGUAGUGUCUGGGUUAGAGGAAAGCGUUGUGGAGAACAAGCUUCUUAUGCAGAUGAAGCCUCCAGAUGGCAGGCUUCAGAGAGAAUAGGCCUUAAAUGUUUCUUAUCAGACUUACAAAGGUGUCAGUUUCUCAGUUAAUUGUCUCCUGGAUCAGGGAAAAGACCGGGAAAGGGAUGCUCUACAGAAUAUACAUUUUCCCCAUAAUAGACAGUUUUGCCAAGACACUUCAAAAUAUGUCAAAGAAAUAUAUUUUGGGGUAAAAUACUUUCUUUGACUUCUUUAAGGGUCUGUAAUCUGUUGUGCUUGUAUCUUAUUGCUAAAAAUAAUCUGUUCUAAUGUUAAUGCUGGUUAGUUGUGCCUAAAUACUAAAGGGAGCAGGGUAUAAUGAGGCAUGUCCAAUACCUUCUUCCCAUCAUGGCCUGAACUAGUUUUUCAGGUUAACUUUGAAAUGCCCUUGACUUAGAGUAGGGGUCCAUUCAUUUAGGUAGGGACUAGAAUUUUAUUCUUGGUUUACAAAUUUUAUGUUGCUUCGAUAUGCAUUUUGAAUAUGUUUCCUUUUCUCAUACCAGAAGCAGGACUCAUUUGUCCUUGACACAGUUUCCAGUUACACACCCCCUCCCAGUUCCUCUAUGUGGACAGUCGAGAUAUCACCUUUUACCACUGCCUUUUGGUGACCAACUCUCCAACCUCCCUAUGGGUCAGCUAGAUACUCCUACUUGACUCACUGCUCUUGUUCCGCACACUCUAUAGGCACCGCAUAGAAGUGCUGCAAUAACCACCUCUCAGUCACUGCAUGACCCCUUGGAAUUCAUGCCUGUUGCCUUUAAACCCACCAAACAG
Long non-coding RNA from Macaca fascicularis (crab-eating macaque), 3795 nucleotides. Lineage: Eukaryota; Metazoa; Chordata; Mammalia; Primates; Cercopithecidae. The record is from Ensembl.